CUUCUCUAUCGGGCGGGCAGACUGACGCUGGUGAACUGCAAGCUCACGAUGAUGCCUAUCUUUCACCUGAUGGCGCUGGACCUCCCCCCGUGGUUCUUCAAAUGCAUCGACAGGCUGCGAAGGUGCUUCUUCUGGCACGGGCUCGAGGAUGCCAGGGGAGGGUGCUGUCUUGUGGCUUGGCAAAUUGUCUGCUCCCCGAAGCCUCUCGGUGGGCUGGGCGUGCUCAACCUGCGGCUUCUGAACCAAGCCCUGCGAUGGCGCUGGCUAUGGUUGCAGAAGAUGGUGAUGGAUAGGCCCUAG
RNAcentral lists this ribosomal RNA (300 nucleotides) under Triticum aestivum (bread wheat). RNAcentral's name for it is "partial small subunit ribosomal RNA". Lineage: Eukaryota; Viridiplantae; Streptophyta; Magnoliopsida; Poales; Poaceae. The record is from RNAcentral.